GUUGGAAACGACUGCUAAUACCGCAUAAGCCCACGGGUCGGCAUCGACCAGAGGGAAAAGGAGCAAUCCGCUUUGAGAUGGCCUCGCGUCCGAUUAGCUAGUUGGUGAGGUAAUGGCCCACCAAGGCGACGAUCGGUAGCCGGACUGAGAGGUUGAACGGCCACAUUGGACUGAGACACGGCCCAGACUCCUACGGGAGGCAGCAGUGGGGAAUAUUGCACAAUGGGGGAAACCCUGAUGCAGCGACGCCGCGUGGAGGAAGAAGGUCUUCGGAUUGUAAACUCCUGUUGUUGGGGAAGAUAAUGACGGUACCCAACAAGGAAGUGACGGCUAACUACGUGCCAGCAGCCGCGGUAAAACGUAGGUCACAAGCGUUGUCCGGAAUUACUGGGUGUAAAGGGAGCGCAGGCGGGAAGACAAGUUGGAAGUGAAAUCUAUGGGCUCAACCCAUAAACUGCUUUCAAAACUGUUUUUCUUGAGUAGUGCAGAGGUAGGCGGAAUUCCCGGUGUAGCGGUGGAAUGCGUAGAUAUCGGGAGGAACACCAGUGGCGAAGGCGGCCUACUGGGCACCAACUGACGCUGAGGCUCGAAAGUGUGGGUAGCAAACAGGAUUAGAUACCCUGGUAGUCCACACCGUAAACGAUGAUUACUAGGUGUUGGAGGAUUGACCCCUUCAGUGCCGCAGUUAACACAAUAAGUAAUCCACCUGGGGAGUACGACCGCAAGGUUGAAACUCAAAGGAAUUGACGGGGGCCCGCACAAGCAGUGGAGUAUGUGGUUUAAUUCGACGCAACGCGAAGAACCUUACCAAGUCUUGACAUCCCUUGACAGACAUAGAAAUAUGUAAUCUCUUCGGAGCAAGGAGACAGGUGGUGCAUGGUUGUCGUCAGCUCGUGUCGUGAGAUGUUGGGUUAAGUCCCGCAACGAGCGCAACCCUUAUGGUCAGUUACUACGCAAGAGGACUCUGGCCAGACUGCCGUUGACAAAACGGAGGAAGGUGGGGAUGACGUCAAAUCAUCAUGCCCUUUAUGACUUGGGCUACACACGUACUACAAUGGCGUUAAACAAAGAGAAGCAAGACCGCGAGGUGGAGCAAAACUCAGAAACAACGUCCCAGUUCGGAUGCAGGCUGCAACUCGCCUGCACGAAGUCGGAAUUGCUAGUAAUCGUGGAUCAGCAUGCCACGGUGAAUACGUUCCCGGGCCUUGUACACACCGCCCGUCACACCAUGAGAGCCGGGGGGACCCGAAGUCGGUAGUCUAACCGCAAGGAGGACGCCGCCGAAGGUAAAACUGGUGAUUGGGGUGAAGUCGUAACAAGGU
This 1322-nucleotide ribosomal RNA is filed under the name metagenome. RNAcentral's name for it is "bacterial SSU rRNA". It matches the Rfam family "Bacterial small subunit ribosomal RNA", at positions 149 to 1497 of the family's 1533-position model. The record is from RNAcentral.